Sander lucioperca (pikeperch) is the source of this 762-nucleotide long non-coding RNA. RefSeq lists it as uncharacterized. The transcript is spliced from 3 exons. NCBI's taxonomy places the organism in Eukaryota, Metazoa, Chordata, Actinopteri, Perciformes, Percidae. The record is from RefSeq and is a predicted model, not a curated record.
CCGUAUCCUCACGUAUCCCUGUUUGACUAUGUCGUUGAAGUUGGAAGCCAUGGUGAGGGGAAGCGGGUAGCUUCCUUCCCGAGGUAGCGAAAUGUUUUACUUGAGGGUCGGUCGGUGAGACAUCCAGCAGCAGGAGAGCGGGCGGUGGGCAACCUGCUCCUGUGUCAGCGCUCAGGCUGCCCGGCUUCAGCGGCGCAAUCUAUCCGCGAGAGGAGGGAGCUACCAUUCAGCUGAUACACUUAAGCCGGAGAGGAUAGCAAAGGAGGAGAGGGCAGAAGAGGCGCGCUUCCUGGACCACACCAUCCACGAAACUCCCUCCACUGUGACAGUCAACCACAGACAGUUGCUACAGAAGACCAGACAUGAAGCUAGUAGGGAUUCUUGCUAAAGGACUCCACAGCAAAGCAGAUACUAAAUGCCAAGGGGGUGUAAUCAAGGGUCUUGAUCUCACGGUGCCACCCUACAGCCCCUGAUCCUCAAGCUCUCUUAACACUAUGUAAUUAUACAUUCAUCAACACAUGGUGCCGUGUCUCUUUAUCUCAUCACAGCCUCUCCUCCUGAAAAAAAAAGUGGAGACAGACAAGCCUGACUAAUAUGUAUGCCCUGUAGAGGGCAAUAUUGUCUGCUGCAUUAGGGGGAGUAGUUUGAAAGGGCUGUUUAAAUGUCUUCAUGUUUCCACUGUAUGAUAAUGAGAUAUCUAUACUUGUUCGAUAAUUUAAUAGGCUGAUGAAUGAGCAACAUAUGAGUUGUGUAACAGACGCU